GUUUAUACAGGAAAAGGACCGUAAUUCCUGUAGCUGUUCAUCUAUUUUCCCAUGGAUUCUACCUCUCGUCUUCCACACUUACUUGCUGACUGGUGACAGAUGAGCCCUGGUAUUUGGUGUCUGGAUUAAAUGAUGGCGAAUGACAGUGGCCUAGGAACUGGAAGCCUGGUAUUUUCUGAAACCCAAUUGGAGAGUUUUGUAGUUUGGCUAAAAGGCAUCGCCCUAGAAAAGACGAGCCGAGUGAUCACGGGGCAUUUAUGACAUUGCAGAAUAGCUCCCGAACCAGAGUGAAGCGUAGGGUGGACAGGCCACCAGGGCACUCCAGCUGGUGUGCUGCAGUGUGACACGUCCAACAGCCUACAAAGCUUUUAUUGUCUCCAAACAUCACAACCAAAGCAAGAAACAAGUGGUUUUGCUUACAUUGACAGAAAGUCUGCAAGAACAGAAAGCCUGACACAUUCCAGUUUUAAAAAAGCACAACUGUGCCCCAAGGACGUGGUAUCAUGCGAGGAUCCGAGGCGCGGGGGGCACAGGCUGGAGUCACUCUGGGCGGGGAGGAGGUGGCAGUUGCCCCCGAGCAGCGAUGUGCAGGUCCAGGCUGUCCAUGAAUCUCACCCUGGGCGUGCAGGAAUGAAUAGCUUCAUUUGACAAGGGUCAGAGGUCAAAAGAGGGUCACCCAACCUUAUCACCCUGUUGAGCAACAGGAACAAUGACCCGUAAAAAGUCCUUCUUGGUGGCUGCUGUUGAAUUCAUCACAUAGAAGCACAUCUAGAAACAAAACCAAAAACAGACUAACAGACAACUCCCAAGAAAGCCACAGGGCCGGCAGACAGCUCCUCCAACUAUCUAAACACCAUAAAGCAAUUUCUGGUGACAUAUUUACCCCCUCCCACAGUUCCCUUUCUUGUUUUACAGACAGACAAGGAAUAAUAAUAAUGAUUUUUAAAGAGUAAUACAUUCCUUAAAAUGGCAGGUGGCAAAAUACAAGAACAACAGGCAUAUUCUGAGUGUCCACAGCUUUUUCCUCUUUCAGUAGAGUUUGGAGGCGACUUCUGAUUUAAUGCAUGAACCUGACAGUGACAGCACCCCAGCGGGAGCAGGGAUAGCAGUGGGCUACCUCUCCAUGCUAUUUGGGGGUGCGGCUGCUGUGGGGCAAGGAGAAGGAAAC
This 1168-nucleotide long non-coding RNA is filed under the name Marmota monax (woodchuck). Lineage: Eukaryota; Metazoa; Chordata; Mammalia; Rodentia; Sciuridae. The record is from RNAcentral.